GCAGCCAUCAUUUAAAGAAAGCGUAAUAGCUCACUGGUCGAGUCGGCCUGCGCGGAAGAUGUAACGGGGCUAAACCAUGCACCGAAGCUGCGGCAGCGACGCUUAUGCGUUGUUGGGUAGGGGAGCGUUCUGUAAGCCUGUGAAGGUGGCCUGUGAGGGUUGCUGGAGGUAUCAGAAGUGCGAAUGCUGACAUAAGUAACGAUAAAGCGGGUGAAAAGCCCGCUCGCCGGAAGACCAAGGGUUCCUGUCCAACGUUAAUCGGGGCAGGGUGAGUCGACCCCUAAGGCGAGGCCGAAAGGCGUAGUCGAUGGGAAACGGGUUAAUAUUCCCGUACUUGGUGUUACUGCGAAGGGGGGACGGAGAAGGCUAUGUUGGCCGGGCGACGGUUGUCCCGGUUUAAGCGUGUAGGUGUGUGUUCCAGGUAAAUCCGGUUCACUUUAACACUGAGGCGUGACGACGAGGCACUACGGUGCUGAAGCAACAAAUGCCCUGCUUCCAGGAAAAGCCUCUAAGCAUCAGGUAACAUCAAAUCGUACCCCAAACCGACACAGGUG
Molecule: ribosomal RNA, 554 nt
Filed under: Salmonella enterica subsp. enterica serovar Weltevreden
Lineage: Bacteria; Pseudomonadati; Pseudomonadota; Gammaproteobacteria; Enterobacterales; Enterobacteriaceae
Description: partial 23S ribosomal RNA
Rfam family: Bacterial large subunit ribosomal RNA
Source: RNAcentral